GGGUCAGUAGGUUGGUCGUGCCACCGGUACGUACUGGUCUCACUGAUUCCUCCUUCCUGAAGAACCGUAAUGCCAUUAAUUUGGUGUUGCGGGGAAACAGGACUGUUACUUUGAAAAAAUUAGAGUGUUUAAAGCAAGCUAACGCUUGAAUACAUUAGCAUGGAAUAAUGAAAUAGGACGAUCGAUCCUAUUUUGUUGGUUUCUAGGAUUGACGUAAUGAUAAUAGGGUAGUUGGG
Molecule: ribosomal RNA, 236 nt
Filed under: Glomeromycotina sp.
Lineage: Eukaryota; Fungi; Glomeromycota
Description: partial small subunit ribosomal RNA
Rfam family: Eukaryotic small subunit ribosomal RNA (bases 40-236)
Source: RNAcentral